AUUUUCUUAGUAUAAUUAAUACAGAUGGCUUCCAACCAUCAAACUUUGGUUUAAACCCAAAAGAAAAUA
This 69-nucleotide transfer RNA is filed under the name Phrynoglossus myanhessei. Its description in RNAcentral is "tRNA-Gly". It matches the Rfam family "tRNA". Rfam says of the family: Transfer RNA (tRNA) molecules are approximately 80 nucleotides in length. Their secondary structure includes four short double-helical elements and three loops (D, anti-codon, and T loops). Further hydrogen bonds mediate the characteristic L-shaped molecular structure. tRNAs have two regions of fundamental functional importance: the anti-codon, which is responsible for specific mRNA codon recognition, and the 3' end, to which the tRNAs corresponding amino acid is attached (by aminoacyl-tRNA synthetases). tRNAs cope with the degeneracy of the genetic code in two manners: having more than one tRNA (with a specific anti-codon) for a particular amino acid; and 'wobble' base-pairing, i.e. permitting non-standard base-pairing at the 3rd anti-codon position. Lineage: Eukaryota; Metazoa; Chordata; Amphibia; Anura; Dicroglossidae. The record is from RNAcentral.